UGGGGAAUAUUGGACAAUGGAGGAAACUCUGAUCCAGCAAUUCUGUGUGUGUGAAGAAGGUUUUAGGACUGUAAAACACUUUUAGUAGGGAAGAAAAAAAUGACGGUACCUACAGAAGAAGCAACGGCUAAAUACGUGCCAGCAGCCGCGGUAAUACGUAUGUUGCGAGCGUUAUCCGGAAUUAUUGGGCUUAAAGGGCAUCUAGGCGGUAAGACAAGUUGAAGGUGAAAACCUGUGGCUCAACCAUAGGCUUGCCUACAAAACUGUUGAACUAGAGUACUGGAAAGGUGGGUGGAACUACACGAGUAGAGGUGAAAGUCGUAGAUAUGUGUAGGAAUGCCGAUGAUGAAGAUAACUCACUGGACAGAAACUGACGCUGAAGUGCGAAAGCUAGGGGAGCAAACAGG
This 407-nucleotide ribosomal RNA is filed under the name Verrucomicrobiota bacterium. RNAcentral describes it as "Verrucomicrobia bacterium partial 16S ribosomal RNA". It matches the Rfam family "Bacterial small subunit ribosomal RNA", at positions 355 to 776 of the family's 1533-position model. Lineage: Bacteria; Pseudomonadati; Verrucomicrobiota. The record is from RNAcentral.